AGUUUGAUCCUGGCUCAGGAUGAACGCUGGCGGCGUGCUUAACACAUGCAAGUCGAGCGAAGCAGUUAAGAAGAUUCUUCGGAUGAUUUUUAACUGACUGAGCGGCGGACGGGUGAGUAACGCGUGGGUGACCUGCCCCAUACCGGGGGAUAACAGCUGGAAACGGCUGCUAAUACCGCAUAAGCGCACAGAGCUGCAUGGCUCGGUGUGAAAAACCCCGGUGGUAUGGGAUGGGCCCGCGUCUGAUUAGGUAGUUGGCGGGGUAACGGCCCACCAAACCGACGAUCAGUAGCCGGCCUGAGAGGGCGACCGGCCACAUUGGGACUGAGACACGGCCCAAACUCCUACGGGAGGCAGCAGUGGGGAAUAUUGCACAAUGGGGGAAACCCUGAUGCAGCGACGCCGCGUGAGCGAAGAAGUAUUUCGGUAUGUAAAGCUCUAUCAGCAGGGAAGAUAAUGACGGUACCUGACUAAGAAGCCCCGGCUAACUACGUGCCAGCAGCCGCGGUAAUACGUAGGGGGCAAGCGUUAUCCGGAUUUACUGGGUGUAAAGGGAGCGUAGACGGCAAGGCAAGUCUGAUGUGAAAACCCAGGGCUUAACCCUGGGACUGCAUUGGAAACUGUCUGGCUCGAGUGCCGGAGAGGUAAGCGGAAUUCCUAGUGUAGCGGUGAAAUGCGUAGAUAUUAGGAAGAACACCAGUGGCGAAGGCGGCUUACUGGACGGUAACUGACGUUGAGGCUCGAAAGCGUGGGGAGCAAACCAGGAUUAGAUACCCUGGUAGUCCACGCCGUAAACGAUG
This 800-nucleotide ribosomal RNA is filed under the name uncultured bacterium. RNAcentral's name for it is "bacterial SSU rRNA". It matches the Rfam family "Bacterial small subunit ribosomal RNA", at positions 10 to 811 of the family's 1533-position model. The record is from RNAcentral.